This 272-nucleotide ribosomal RNA is filed under the name uncultured prokaryote. RNAcentral's name for it is "partial 16S ribosomal RNA". It matches the Rfam family "Bacterial small subunit ribosomal RNA", at positions 524 to 794 of the family's 1533-position model. The record is from RNAcentral.
UACGGAGGUUCCAAGCGUUGUUCGGAAUUACUGGGCGUAAAGGGAGCGCAGGCGGGCAAGUCAGUCUGAAGUGAAAUCCCGGGGCUCAACCUCGGACUUGCUUCGGAUACUGCUUGUCUUGAGGUCGUGAUAGGAAGACGGAAUUCAGGGUGUAGCGGUGAAAUGCACAGAUAUCCUGAGGAACACCGGUGGCGAAAGCGGUCUUCUGGCGCGAAACUGACGCUGAGGCUCGAAAGCGUGGGUAGCAAACGGGAUUAGAUACCCUGGGUAGU